GGGCGAUUAGCUCAGCUGGAUAGAGCGCAUGCUUUACACGCAUGAGGUCGCAGGUUCGAGCCCUGCAUCGCCCACCA
This 77-nucleotide transfer RNA is filed under the name Chloroflexota bacterium. Its description in RNAcentral is "tRNA-Val". It matches the Rfam family "tRNA". From Rfam's summary of the family: Transfer RNA (tRNA) molecules are approximately 80 nucleotides in length. Lineage: Bacteria; Bacillati; Chloroflexota. RNAcentral also lists the same sequence under 1 other name. The record is from RNAcentral.